GCGGGGGUAACUCAGUGGAAGAGUCUCGGCCUUCCAAGCCGAUGGUCGCGGGUUCGAAUCCCGUCCCCCGCUCCA
RNAcentral lists this transfer RNA (75 nucleotides) under Acidobacteriota bacterium. RNAcentral's name for it is "Acidobacteria bacterium tRNA-Gly". It matches the Rfam family "tRNA". From Rfam's summary of the family: Transfer RNA (tRNA) molecules are approximately 80 nucleotides in length. Their secondary structure includes four short double-helical elements and three loops (D, anti-codon, and T loops). RNAcentral also lists the same sequence under 2 other names. The record is from RNAcentral. Lineage: Bacteria; Pseudomonadati; Acidobacteriota.